ACACACCCUGAUGUAGCCUUGUUGAGUGUUUCAGAGCUGAAGCUGUGAAUGAAUUUCCUCAUGUGAACAAAUAAAGGAAAUCUGUACCUGAGUCAAAACAUCAAAGAUCCCCCACCAUAUUUUACAGUAGGGGUGAGGUGUUUUCUGCAUAUGUGUUGUUUCGGGAGGCCAAACCCACCAUCUGACCAUACUACUGCCUGGAGUUUGCUAAUUGGCUUUGACACUUGUAUUGUUGCUAUGGUUAUAUGACAUGAAAAUAGAGCUCUGGCCACACUGCAGCAGUGGCUUUGGCCUUCGAAAGAAC
Molecule: long non-coding RNA, 304 nt
Organism: Oncorhynchus tshawytscha (Chinook salmon)
Lineage: Eukaryota; Metazoa; Chordata; Actinopteri; Salmoniformes; Salmonidae
Source: Ensembl